This 218-nucleotide ribosomal RNA is filed under the name uncultured bacterium. Its description in RNAcentral is "partial 16S ribosomal RNA". It matches the Rfam family "Bacterial small subunit ribosomal RNA", at positions 524 to 740 of the family's 1533-position model. The record is from RNAcentral.
UACAUGUGGGGCAAGCGUUGUUCGGAAUUACUGGGCAUAAAGGGUGCGUAGGCGGCUUGUUAAGUCAGGGGUGAAAUCCCACGGCCCAACCGUGGAACUGCCUUUGAUACUGGCGAGCUUGAGUGCGGGAGAGGAGAGUGGAAUUCCUGGUGUAGCGGUGAAAUGCGCAGAUAUCAGGAGGAACACCAAUGGCGAAGGCAGAUCUCUGGGCCGUAAAC